GACGAACGCUGGCGGCGUGCCUAAUACAUGCAAGUCGAACGCAUUUUCUUUCACCGUAGCUUGCUACACCGAAAGAAAAUGAGUGGCGAACGGGUGAGUAACACGUGGGUAACCUGCCCAUCAGCGGGGGAUAACACUUGGAAACAGGUGCUAAUACCGCCUAAUUCCAUUUACCGCAUGGUAGAUGGGUGAACGGCGCUUUUUCGUCACUGAUGGAUGGACCUGCGGUGCAUUAGCUAGUUGGGGGGGUGACGGCCUACCAAGGCUGCGAUGCAUAGCCGACCUGGGAGGGAGAUCGGCCACACUUGGAAUGAGAACACGCCCCAGCCUCUACGGGGAGCAGCAGGAGGGGAACUUUGGCAAAGGACGCAAGGCCUACCGAGCAACGCCGCGGGAGUGAAGAAGGGUUUCGGGUCGGAAAACUCCGUUGUUAGGGAAGAAAAAGGAUGAGAGUGGAAAGUUCAUCCCUUGACGGUACCUAACCAGAAAGCCACGGCUAACUACGUG
This 507-nucleotide ribosomal RNA is filed under the name uncultured bacterium. RNAcentral's name for it is "partial 16S ribosomal RNA". It matches the Rfam family "Bacterial small subunit ribosomal RNA", at positions 28 to 507 of the family's 1533-position model. The record is from RNAcentral.